This is a long non-coding RNA of Cyprinodon tularosa, 2747 nucleotides long. RefSeq lists it as uncharacterized. The record is from RefSeq and is a predicted model, not a curated record. The transcript is spliced from 2 exons. NCBI's taxonomy places the organism in Eukaryota, Metazoa, Chordata, Actinopteri, Cyprinodontiformes, Cyprinodontidae.
AAACACUUUAGUUAAACAGUAAAAUUUUAUGAAUAAACCUUGAGAAAGAAUCUGGUUUGGUAUGGGAAGAAACUAUGUCUGGUCUACAAACACCAUCCUGCAGAGAAUUGUCUGGCCUUGAAGUUGAAUCAGGCUGAGUGAAAACUUUUAUAGUGAGUAAAUAGGAUAAAAUAAUAUAUAAUAGAAGAGAAAUCUACAUUUUCUGACAACAGUUACUCUCAGGUUGCAGUUUGGCAAGCGACAGCUCAACACAAAAUGGAAAAGGUUAUAACUACAAGUGAGAAGUUUGUUCUCAAAAAAGGAAUAAAAUUAUCCGUUGUUAGGAACUGCAGGGCUUAAAGUUCUCCGGCAUAGUGGCAGAUUUCCAGCUUGCAUCAACUGUGGUUGUAUUAGAAGAAAUGGGAUUGUGUAUUGAAAUGCAUAUUUUAAAACCAUCAGAAAAGGUUUCUGCUCCAGAUAGUUAACAAGCUAGCUGUUAACUGAUGCAGGGCUGCCGAUAGCACGGCUUGGUAGUGAUCUGAAAAGGGGUCCCUAUGUCCUCCAGCAGUCUAAGCCUAUAGCAGCAUAACUAUAGAGAUAGCUCUGGAUAACCUGAGCCACUCUAACUAUAAGCUUUAUCAAAAAGGAAAGUUUUAAGCAUUGCCUUAAGAGCAGACAUGGUGUCUCCCUCCGAGGCUAAAACUGGUAGUUGGUUCCACAGGAGAGAAGCCUGAUAACUAAAAGAUUUGUAUCCCAUUCUAUUUUUAGAAGUUCUAGGAACCACUAGUAAACCUGCAGACUGACAGACCGCCUGCAGGAUUAUGUUGGAAAAGAGGAGGAUUUCUCUGACCAUCAGCUCUGUGGACAGGGGAGGAAAUCCAGUUUGGACCAAGAGGAAUCUGAACAUCCGCAGAUAAAAGAAGAGCAUCAAAAGCCAGAACAUCCCUGUAUAAAAGAGGAAACCAUGGAGCUCCCCAUAAGUGAGCAAAAAGAACAGCUUGUUCUUAAGCAGACGAUUAAAGAUACAAGAGAGAAUCCUUUCCCAUGUUUGACAUGUGGAGAAAACUUUCUUAAAAAAAAGCAUUUAAUGGUUCACAUGAGAACUCACAAAGGUGAGAAGUUUUAUUGUCUGUCCUGUGGAAAAUGUUUCUCAAAGAAAUCUAGACUUGAUAAACAUAUGAAAAUUCACACAGGUGAGAAGCCUUUUUCCUGUACCAUUUGUAACAAUAAAUUUAAUCGAAAGGAUCUUUUGACUAGACACAUGAGAUUUCACACAGGUGAGAAGCCUUUUGAAUGUCUGUCCUGUGGAAAAAGCUUCACUAACAAAUCUUAUCUUGAUAGACACAUCAGAAUUCAUACUCGUGUGAAGCCUUUUGAAUAAGUCACAGUCAGCAGUUAGAUGCCACAGGAAUGAACAGUAGAGGUGUUUACCAUGUUUGACUGGUGAUAAAAUGUCCAUCUAGAAACUCCUUCACCUCAUUACAUUAGAAACUCACGGGUUAAUGUCCUUUUUUUUGAGGACAGUUUUGAGAAAGCCAUUAAUUAACAGCUCUGUUUACAUAGAAACCAGAACAGAUAAUGUGUUAUUUGGUAAAUCCUGUACUCAGUUGAUCUAAGCAAUUGAUAAGGUUAAAUAGAAAAAAAAAAUCAAGGCAGACCCAUACUGUGCAACUUUGGCAUGGUGUUGCACAUCUUUUUUCUGAAUUAAUUUAUUAAGAAAAAAAACUGUAGUUUUAUUUUUUACACUAAGAAACUUUUAGUUGAAUGAUAAGCUAUCGGUUGGUUAUAUUCCAGAAACAGACUUUUAUUCAGAUGAAAAUAUCCUCAGAUGAAAAUAAAAGCAAAGCUAGUACAGAUUUAAUGUGCUUUGCUCAGUGUUGCUGAUGUUUCUGGAGGAUUUUCUAAGAGAUCAGCUGCAAAUGAUCAGAGUUUAACUAAUUCAGUGUCUUGUUGGCUUUCAUUAGCAAUGCAUCAAUCAGCCCUGCUACGUGUGUUGUUGAAACCAGGCCCACCAACACUCCAACUGUUUUUGGCACAGUGUUAGAGCUAUGGUCAAUAGAUAUUAGAAUGAAGUAGAUCAUCUAUAGAGGAGUCUCAGAUGAAGAUUUGGGACAUGUAUAAGUGUGUGUCAGUCUCAGAGUUAGUCAGCUACAAGCUAAUUAAUGUUUCAAAGUAGCUCCAGCCACCUUGAAAGGGGGUGCUGGGAUUAUGGGGUUAAACUACGGGACAUCAAAGAACUCAGUUUAGAGGCUGGAGUCUGUAGUUCAGGUAAAUUGGAGUCCUAAAAUGAUGAAACAUGUUUGUUUAAAAAGAUAAACAGGAUUGAUGAUGUUGAUGUUAUUUUACUGAUCAGUUUGAACCUGCUUUAACUUGGUAAAAAGCCUUUGUCUUAAUAAUGUAUUAAAGAAAUCUGACUCUCCUCUAGAAGUGUGAAGUUUCUGCUGUUUAAAGAUUUUUUUGAAAGUUUUUCCUUUGAACUAAUUCUAAUAGUUUUGUUCUUGAUUCUGUAGAUGUUCUAUUUACCUGCUAUGAUUGAAAGUAACUAUCAUCUAUUUUAUACAACUGAUUUUAUGGAUUAUAUUGUGCUGUGGAUGUUUUCAAUUAUUGUAAUCGCUUCUAAAUUGAUGAACGAGCAGCAAUAAAAACCUCAUGGAUUGUAAAAAUGUGCUUCUUUAUAUUGUUUCAUUAAAUUGCAAUCUUUUUCCAUGUUUUCGCUGAUAUUUUGAGGAAAACUAAAGCUGUAAAAUAAAUAGUUUAAUGGCAUUCAC